GGUUAAGCGACUAAGCGUACACGGUGGAUGCCCUGGCAGUCAGAGGCGAUGAAGGACGUGCUAAUCUGCGAAAAGCGUCGGUAAGGUGAUAUGAACCGUUAUAACCGGCGAUGUCCGAAUGGGGAAACCCAGUGUGAUUCGUCACACUAUCGUUAACUGAAUACAUAGGUUAACGAGGCGAACCGGGGGAACUGAAACAUCUAAGUACCCCGAGGAAAAGAAAUCAACCGAGAUUCCCCCAGUAGCGGCGAGCGAACGGGGAGCAGCCCAGAGUCUGAAUCAGCUUGUGUGUUAGUGGAACGGUCUGGAAAGUCCGACGGUACAGGGUGAUAGUCCCGUACACCAAAAUGCACAGGUUGUGAACUCGAAGAGUAGGGCGGGACACGUGGUAUCCUGUCUGAAUAUGGGGGGACCAUCCUCCAAGGCUAAAUACUCCUGACUGACCGAUAGUGAACCAGUACCGUGAGGGAAAGGCGAAAAGAACCCCGGCGAGGGGAGUGAAAAAGAACCUGAAACCGUGUACGUACAAGCAGUGGGAGCACCUUCGGGUGUGACUGCGUACCUUUUGUAUAAUGGGUCAGCGACUUAUAUUCUGUAGCAAGGUUAACCGUAUAGGGGAGCCGCAGGGAAACCGAGUCUUAACUGGGCGUUAAGUUGCAGGGUAUAGACCCGAAACCCGGUGAUCUAGCCAUGGGCAGGUUGAAGGUUGGGUAACACUAACUGGAGGACCGAACCGACUAAUGUUGAAAAAUUAGCGGAUGACUUGUGGCUGGGGGUGAAAGGCCAAUCAAACCGGGAGAUAGCUGGUUCUCCCCGAAAGCUAUUUAGGUAGCGCCUCGUGAACUCAUCUUCGGGGGUAGAGCACUGUUUCGGCUAGGGGGUCAUCCCGACUUACCAACCCGAUGCAAACUACGAAUACCGAAGAAUGUUAUCACGGGAGACACACGGCGGGUGCUAACGUCCGUCGUGAAGAGGGAAACAACCCAGACCGCCAGCUAAGGUCCCAAAGUCAUGGUUAAGUGGGAAACGAUGUGGGAAGGCACAGACAGCCAGGAUGUUGGCUUAGAAGCAGCCAUCAUUUAAAGAAAGCGUAAUAGCUCACUGGUCGAGUCGGCCUGCGCGGAAGAUGUAACGGGGCUAAACCAUGCACCGAAGCUGCGGCAGCGACACUAUGUGUUGUUGGGUAGGGGAGCGUUCUGUAAGCCUGCGAAGGUGUGCUGUGAGGCAUGCUGGAGGUAUCAGAAGUGCGAAUGCUGACAUAAGUAACGAUAAAGCGGGUGAAAAGCCCGCUCGCCGGAAGACCAAGGGUUCCUGUCCAACGUUAAUCGGGGCAGGGUGAGUCGACCCCUAAGGCGAGGCCGAAAGGCGUAGUCGAUGGGAAACAGGUUAAUAUUCCUGUACUUGGUGUUACUGCGAAGGGGGGACGGAGAAGGCUAUGUUAGCCGGGCGACGGUUGUCCCGGUUUAAGCAUGUAGGCUGAUUGUCCAGGCAAAUCCGGAUAAUCAAGGCUGAGGUGUGAUGACGAGGCACUACGGUGCUGAAGUAACAAAUGCCCUGCUUCCAGGAAAAGCCUCUAAGCAUCAGGUAACAUUAAAUCGUACCCCAAACCGACACAGGUGGUCAGGUAGAGAAUACCAAGGCGCUUGAGAGAACUCGGGUGAAGGAACUAGGCAAAAUGGUGCCGUAACUUCGGGAGAAGGCACGCUGGUGUGUAGGUGAAGUCCCUGCGGAUGGAGCUGAGACCAGUCGAAGAUACCAGCUGGCUGCAACUGUUUAUUAAAAACACAGCACUGUGCAAACACGAAAGUGGACGUAUACGGUGUGACGCCUGCCCGGUGCCGGAAGGUUAAUUGAUGGGGUUAUCCGUAAGGAGAAGCUCUUGAUCGAAGCCCCGGUAAACGGCGGCCGUAACUAUAACGGUCCUAAGGUAGCGAAAUUCCUUGUCGGGUAAGUUCCGACCUGCACGAAUGGCGUAAUGAUGGCCAGGCUGUCUCCACCCGAGACUCAGUGAAAUUGAACUCGCUGUGAAGAUGCAGUGUACCCGCGGCAAGACGGAAAGACCCCGUGAACCUUUACUAUAGCUUGACACUGAACAUUGAGCCUUGAUGUGUAGGAUAGGUGGGAGGCUUUGAAGCGUGGACGCCAGUCUGCGUGGAGCCAACCUUGAAAUACCACCCUUUAAUGUUUGAUGUUCUAACGUUGGCCCCUUACCGGGGUUGCGGACAGUGUCUGGUGGGUAGUUUGACUGGGGCGGUCUCCUCCCAAAGCGUAACGGAGGAGCACGAAGGUUAGCUAAUCCUGGUCGGACAUCAGGAGGUUAGUGCAAUGGCAUAAGCUAGCUUGACUGCGAGCGUGACGGCGCGAGCAGGUGCGAAAGCAGGUCAUAGUGAUCCGGUGGUUCUGAAUGGAAGGGCCAUCGCUCAACGGAUAAAAGGUACUCCGGGGAUAACAGGCUGAUACCGCCCAAGAGUUCAUAUCGACGGCGGUGUUUGGCACCUCGAUGUCGGCUCAUCACAUCCUGGGGCUGAAGUAGGUCCCAAGGGUAUGGCUGUUCGCCAUUUAAAGUGGUACGCGAGCUGGGUUUAGAACGUCGUGAGACAGUUCGGUCCCUAUCUGCCGUGGGCGCUGGAGAAUUGAGGGGGGCUGCUCCUAGUACGAGAGGACCGGAGUGGACGCAUCACUGGUGUUCGGGUUGUCAUGCCAAUGGCACUGCCCGGUAGCUAAAUGCGGAAGAGAUAAGUGCUGAAAGCAUCUAAGCACGAAACUUGCCCCGAGAUGAGUUCUCCCUGAGACUUUAAGUCUCCUGAAGGAACGUUGAAGACGACGACGUUGAUAGGCCGGGUGUGUAAGCGCAGCGAUGCGUUGAGCUAACCGGUACUAAUGAACCGUGAGGCUUAACCUU
This 2902-nucleotide ribosomal RNA is filed under the name Klebsiella pneumoniae. RNAcentral's name for it is "23S ribosomal RNA". It matches the Rfam family "Bacterial large subunit ribosomal RNA". Lineage: Bacteria; Pseudomonadati; Pseudomonadota; Gammaproteobacteria; Enterobacterales; Enterobacteriaceae. The record is from RNAcentral.